UCGGGCCCGUCUACCAACGAGAGGCACCGCUUGAGGCCAGAGCGGCCUCCCAUCCCUGGAGGUCCACGUUGGUCUCCGCGCCGGGGCGGGGGCCCAGGGACUGCUCCUGUGCGUUGGGGGCGCCACUUUAUCCGUGGUAAGGGAAGGAGGAAAGCAGGAUGUUGCCUCUCUAGGCCUAGGCUUUCCUCAGUAUUCCGAAUGUCUGGUUGCCAUAGCAACUUGCAAUCCUUCUGAGUCUCCUGUAAAGGCUCAGGGGAGUAUGAGUUGAGUGGGGCCUGGGUCACCCAAGAUUGUAGGGAUAGAGCCCCCAGGACUACCUUCCCGACCUUGUAGUGUGUCCACAGCUUCUUUCCGGGGAAGACAAGAAGAGAUACUUUGAGCCCAGUUCCCCCAGCUUUCUUGGGUCCCUGGAAGCCCUGCCCAACCAAGCUCGGGGAACGCAGGGCGUCUUCACCCCGCGCCUUUCAUCCCCCCUGGAUCUCCAAGCACCAACUGGUUCAUCACCCUAAUGACGCUGACCGUUUUAUGAGGCUGCUUUCAUGUCAACCGCUUGGGAGUGCCAUCUCAGCAUUAAGCCUAAGGAGGCUGACAUGACAUGGCGCCCCAGACCCUGCCCCGGAGUUUAUAAGGCAACUCAUGGGGUGAGGGCCCCGCUCCUCAGUGUCCCCAGUACUCCCACCUCUCAUAAACUCUGUUCAACACGCUUGUCUGGCUGAAUGCAGAGUGGACUGGGAAUUCACAGAGGGCAUGUCACAGCUUAAUUAUCUUUAUAGUAUUUUCCUUACCUAAACCAAUAAUAUUUGUGGAGUUGAAUUAAAUUGGGUCGUUCUGCAGUUAAAUCAGGAGAGUUUGAGGUUAUAAUUUAAAGCAAGGGAGAAUUAAAGUAAGGGGACAUGGGAAUUUUAAGAUCUAGGGCUGGGGAAGUAACUGGUAGAGCACUUGCCUACCAAACAUGAGGCCCCGGAUUUGAUACCCAGAAUUAUAAAAUAAAAAUUAAAAAAAAAAUAACUCCUUACUUAAGGAAAACAGUGCCAACGUCUCUGCCUGUCAUAGUGCUGAGGGAGCCAAAACCACAGGGCCACCGGGUAGAAAAGGACUGGUGAAGCUCAGUUGCUUGGAUGGGAGAGGUCAUUUGUCCAGCUAUGAUUCAGUAGCUUAGCCCUUUCCUAUAUACCUCCUCUGUGCUCUUUGGAGGCCACAAGACUCACAGAGCAUUUGCCCUGAUGGCUAGUGGCUCACAAUCUUAAAGUCUAAGAGCUAGCCUGUAUUUGACCAUUUCCCACUUCGGUUCUCUAUAUCUGAGCCAACACAUUUACUCCCUCAGCUUUAAUUUCAUCUGAUUCUCAACUCAUGCUAUCUCCAACAUAGGCUUUUUUUUUUCUCCCCAGAGUUCCAGACCUGUAUAUCCAACUACCUACCAGAUAUGUCUGGGAUGUUUCACAAAUUCCCAAGGCUUAACAUGUUUAUUGAACUUAUUCUCUCCCCACCCCUCAAAAAAGAACAAAUGUUGUAUUCGAUUCUCUUUCCUGAAUUCCCUAUAUUGUUGAAUGGAAUCAACUACUUGGCCACCAAGUGGGAAACAUGGAGGAAAUCAUGAAUUCCUCAUUUUUUUCUCAUUCUUGAUUUCAAGUUUACUACCAAGCCUUGUUGAUUCUCCUAUCAAAUAUCUUCCAAAUCUAUAUAUCCUCUUCCCAUUCCAAUCCAGACUCUUGUCAUUUCUUUUUUUCACUCAGAGAAGACUACAGUAGUCCCCUAAUUGUUCCCUGAUCUCAUCUCUCUCUGGUCUUGGCUGUUCUACAAGUGACCUGAAAAGGGAAACACUGAUCAAAUUUCACUGGUUUGAAACCUAUCAAUGGUUUUCCACUGCUGUGAGUUUGAUCUCUGGCCUAUGUGAGGAUGGCCUAAGGUCUGAGCCUAAGCAACUCCAUUUUAAAAACUCCAGUUUGAAAACUGCAGUCUCACCAUGCAUGCCUAAUGGAGAGACCACCAGUAUGGCCCUCAGGCACAAACAAGUCACUUCUCCCCACCCUGAUAAACUCAGAUUGAAGCCUCUGGCAGGCUGUUCAUGCCUGCCCAGGGAAAAGCACCCCAAAAGAGAGAAAGGCGAAAAGAUCAGGGUGGGAUCCACUACACCAGAUGGUUUAACCCCAGAGUAAAUGAUGUCACUGAGAAAUGGUGGCAGCUGGUAAGGAUUAAAAGGGGGACAAAAGCUCCAAAUUUGGUAUAAAUAACAGAGCAAAUGAACAGAUAUUCAGCCAGCCAACACUGAUGCCCUCACGCUGAGAGCCUGAUGAGGACCUGGACUGGCAUCUCAACACUUUUUAUUGUUGCUGAUCCUCUGCAUCUUCCUCACCACUCUUAAACUCUAUAGCCACAUCUUGACCCUGGUGACAGUCACAACUUCUCCCUAUGACCCUCUCCUCAACCAGCCAUCAGCUCCACCUCAGGAGAAGCCUGCCUUGGUUCCUGACCCGAUCACUCCAAUCUGAGUGAGUGUGCAUCUGCUGGACUUAAAGCCUAAGGCUUGAGACUUUUGAUCUGACACGCAGAGGGAAUGUGUGUCAUUAGCCUGUCAUAAUUAAGUGUUUGCAGUGUUUAGAAUUAAUCUAGAAUGGUUUGCUGGGAAUCAAUCUAGAAUUGUUUGCUGUGAAUUGAUUAUGUUGUUGCAGUGUCUAACAUUAAGGGUUGUCGUUUUCUCGAUUAAGAACCUAUAGAGUGAAAUUGUAUUGAGUGAUUUGAGUGAAUAAAGCAUUGACUAGGGCACAAGUGCGUGGACAUUCUUUAUUUCUCCCCCUGGACUGCAAAAGUCACACCUUUUACUCAUUUUGACAGCCUGCCACACAGACUUUUGGUUAUAUGGCUACUUUCUACCAAUAUUGAACCCAAAUGCUUGUAGUUCCAGAAAAUGCCAUGACUCUUGCAAUGUUUUUGCCCCCCCUAGUGAAGCCAGAAUUAGACAGGCAGUCAGUAUAGAUAGGUAAAUCGAGUCAGGUCAGAUCAAGGAGGCCAAUUUUGAGUGAUUCUGAGAAAUUGGAGACUGUCCCCUGAGGGAUUGAAUGUUAAUUCCUUCAGAGCCCUUCCUCCACCCUUAUCAAGAAUCUGCCCCUGCCCCAACCUGUUGCUAUAGUAACUUAUCCCAGGGAGCUAUAAGAUUGUUAAUUAAUGUGUCCUUGGCUGCUCCACCCUGCCCUUCCCCCUUCAGCCCACCUGUUUUCCACCUUUUGGCUACCCCACCAAGCAUUCCUGGGCUUAAUCAUCACAUACCCGGAAGGAGAAAGAUAAGAGGAAGAGAGCAGGAGAACAAAGGAAGUCUAGGACAUAUAAAAAGGGCAGAAUGCCUCCCUUCUUGGGAUACCUUCUCCCUCCUAGGAGAAGUCUGUUAACCCUAGGUUUUUUUUGGUACAGGGGACUGAACUCAGGGGUACCCGACCACUGAACCACAUCCCCAGCCCCCCCUCCUUUUAAAAUUUACAGAUAUGGUCUCAUUGAGUUGCUUUGUGCCACAGCAUUGCUGAGGCUGGCUUUGAACUCAUGAUCCUCCUACCUCAGCCUCCCAAGUUGCUGGGUUUACAGGCAUGUGGCACCGUGCCCAGCUCUGUUACCAUAUGUGUGUGUGUGUAUAAAAAGUUGUUGAUUGACCUUUAUUUAUUUAUUUAUAUGUAGUGCUGAGAAUUGAACCCAGUGCCUCACACAUGCCAGGCAAGUGCACUACCACUGAGCCAUAACCCCAGACCUUCUGUUACCCCUUUUUAAAUAAACCCUGCUUUAUAUGCUUGCCUCAGCAUGCUUCUCUAAUGUUCAAAGUUCAAUAUGUGAGGAAGCAGAACUCCACCUAUAACUGGCGGUAUCACUAGGGUACCCUUUCCCCCUAAGCCUUUCAAACCUUUACACAGACAUAACCUCUUUCUGGAAUUUCUGCUUGAUGUUGCUGCCCCCAAGUUAAAUAUCCCUUUUUGGGGGCCCUCCAUGGCACCUUUGUAACAGUACUCACCAUAAUGUACUGU
RNAcentral lists this long non-coding RNA (4004 nucleotides) under Marmota monax (woodchuck). Lineage: Eukaryota; Metazoa; Chordata; Mammalia; Rodentia; Sciuridae. The record is from RNAcentral.